Molecule: ribosomal RNA, 406 nt
Filed under: uncultured bacterium
Lineage: Bacteria
Description: partial 16S ribosomal RNA
Rfam family: Bacterial small subunit ribosomal RNA
Source: RNAcentral
AUUGAACGCUGGCGGCAUGCUUUACACAUGCAAGUCGGACGAGGGGCGAACGGGUGAGUAAUAUAUCGGCACGUCCCGAGUAAUGGGGGAUAACUAAUCGAAAGAUUAGCUAAUACCGCAUAUGAUUGGAGCGGCCGAUAUUUGAGUAGCUGGUUGGGGGGGUAAUGUCCUACCAAGGCGACGAUCAGUAGCGGGUCUGAGAGGAUGAUCCGCCACACUGUGACUGAGACACGGACCAGAAUCCGACGUGAGGCAGCAGUGGGGAAUCUUCGGCAAUGGGCGCAAGCCUGAUCCGGCCAUGCCGCGUGUCUGUAGAGGGCCUUCGGGUUGUAAAGGACGUUAGUUAGGGAAGCGGUACCUGAAGAAUAAGCACCGGCUAACUACGUGCCAGCAGCCGCGGUAAUAC